This 516-nucleotide ribosomal RNA is filed under the name uncultured bacterium. RNAcentral's name for it is "bacterial SSU rRNA". It matches the Rfam family "Bacterial small subunit ribosomal RNA", at positions 992 to 1509 of the family's 1533-position model. The record is from RNAcentral.
AGAAUUUAGCAGAGAUGCUUUAGUGCCUUCGGGAACUCUGAGACAGGUGCUGCAUGGCUGUCGUCAGCUCGUGUUGUGAAAUGUGGUUAAGUCCCGNAACGAGCGCAACCCAUAUCCUUUGUUGCCAGCACGUAAUGGUGGGAACUCAAAGGAGACUGCCGGUGAUAAACCGGAGGAAGGUGGGGAUGACGUCAAGUCAUCAUGGCCCUUACGAGUAGGGCUACACACGUGCUACAAUGGCGCGUACAAAGAGAAGCGACCUCGCGAGAGCAAGCGGACCUCAUAAAGUGCGUCGUAGUCCGGAUUGGAGUCUGCAACUCGACUCCAUGAAGUCGGAAUCGCUAGUAAUCGUAAAUCAGAAUGUUACGGUGAAUACGUUCCCGGGCCUUGUACACACCGCCCGUCACACCAUGGGAGUGGGUUGCAAAAGAAGUAGAUAGCUUAACCUUCGGGAGGGCGUUUACCACUUUGUGAUUCAUGACUGGGGUGAAGUCGUAACAAGGUAAGCGUAGUGCU